GUGGGGAAUUUUGGACAAUGGGCGCAAGCCUGAUCCAACAAUGCCGCGUGCAGGAAGAAGGCCUUCGGGUUGUAAACUGCUUUUGUACGGAACGAAACGGCUCUGGUUAAUACCCGGGGCUAAUGACGGUACCGUAAGAAUAAGCACCGGCUAACUACGUGCCAGCAGCCGCGGUAAUACGUAGGGUGCAAGCGUUAAUCGGAAUUACUGGGCGUAAAGCGUGCGCAGGCGGUUUUGUAAGACAGGCGUGAAAUCCCCGGGCUCAACCUGGGAAUGGCGCUUGUGACUGCAAAGCUGGAGUGCGGCAGAGGGGGAUGGAAUUCCGCGUGUAGCAGUGAAAUGCGUAGAUAUGCGGAGGAACACCGAUGGCGAAGGCAAUCCCCUGGGCCUGCACUGACGCUCAUGCACGAAAGCGUGGGGAGCAAACAGGAUUAGAAACCCGAGUAGUCC
RNAcentral lists this ribosomal RNA (450 nucleotides) under uncultured bacterium. Its description in RNAcentral is "partial 16S ribosomal RNA". It matches the Rfam family "Bacterial small subunit ribosomal RNA", at positions 354 to 796 of the family's 1533-position model. The record is from RNAcentral.